Molecule: ribosomal RNA, 433 nt
Filed under: uncultured bacterium
Lineage: Bacteria
Description: partial 16S ribosomal RNA
Rfam family: Bacterial small subunit ribosomal RNA
Source: RNAcentral
AACGAACGCUGGCGGCAUGCCUAACACAUGCAAGUCGAACGAGACCUUCGGGUCUAGUGGCGCACGGGUGCGUAACGCGUGGGAACCUGCCCUUAGGUUCGGAAUAACUCCCCGAAUGGGGUGCUAAUACCGGAUCAUGUCUUCGGACCAAAGAUUUAUCGCAUUUGGAUGGGCCUGCGUUGGAUUAGCUAGUUGGUAGGGUAAAAGCCUACCAAGGCGACGAUCCAUAGCUGGUCUGAGAGGAUGAUCAGCCACACUGGGACUGAGACACGGCCGAGACUCCUACGGGAGGCAGCAGUGGGGAAUAUUGGACAAUGGGCGAAAGCCUGAUCCAGCAAUGCCGCGUGAGUGAUGAAGGCCUUAGGGUUGUAAAGCUCGUUUACCCGGGAUGAUAAUGACAGUACCGGGAGAAUAAGCUCCGGCUAACUCCGUG